This 864-nucleotide unclassified non-coding RNA is filed under the name uncultured Bordetella sp. RNAcentral's name for it is "partial 16S-23S ribosomal RNA intergenic spacer". It matches the Rfam family "Bacterial small subunit ribosomal RNA", at positions 10 to 875 of the family's 1533-position model. The record is from RNAcentral. Lineage: Bacteria; Pseudomonadati; Pseudomonadota; Betaproteobacteria; Burkholderiales; Alcaligenaceae.
AGUUUGAUUAUGGCUCAGAUUGAACGCUGGCGGGAUGCUUUACACAUGCAAGUCGAACGGCAGCACGGACUUCGGUCUGUAGGCGAGUGGCGAACGGGUGAGUAAUGUAUCGGAACGUGCCUAGUGAAGCGGGGACAACUACGCGCGAAAGGUAUUAAUACCGCAUACGCCCUUCGGGGGAAAGCGGGGACCUUCUUGGGCCUCGCACUAUUAGAGCGGCCGAUAUCGGAUUAGCUAGUUGGUGGGGUAACGGCUCACCAAGGCGACGAUCCGUAGCUGGUUUGAGAGGACGACCAGCCACACUGGGAACGAGACAUCGGCCCAGACUCCUACGGGAGGCAGCAGUGGGGAAUUCUUGACAAUGGGGAAACUCCUGAUCCAGCCAUCCCGCGUGUGCGAUGAAGGCCUCGGGUUGUAAAGCACUUUCGGCAGGAAAAGAAACGGCACGUGGAUAAUACCCCGUGCAACUGACGGUACCUGCAGAAUAAGCACCGGCUAAUCACGUGCCAGCAGCCGCGGUAAUACGUAGGGUGCAAGCGUUAAUCGGAAUUACUGGGCGUAAAGCGUGCGCAGGCGGUUCGAAAGAGGGAAAUCCCAGAGCUUAACUUUUGGAACUGCAUUUUUAACUACCGAGCUGAUGUGUCAGAGGGAGGUGGAAUUCCGCGUGUAGCAGUGAAAUGCGUAGAUAUGCGGAGGAACACCGAUGACGAAGGCAGCCUCCUGGGAUAACACUGACGCUCAUGCACGAAAGCGUGGGGAGCAAACAGGAUUAGAUACCCUGGUAGUCCACGCCCCAAACGAUGUCAACUAGCUGUUGGGCGCCUCGCCCAAGGCGCAGGCUCGGAUGCAAGAAAUGAUCGCCUG